AACGAACGCUGGCGGCAUGCCUAACACAUGCAAGUCGAACGAGACCUCCGGGUCUUGUCGCGCACGGGUGCGUAACGCGUGGGAACCUGCCCUUAUGUUUGGACUAACUCUCCGAAUGGGGUGCUAAUACCGGAUCAUGUCUUCGGACCAAAGAUUUAUCGCGUUUGGUUGGGCGCGCGUUGGAUUAGCUUUUUGUUAGGGUAAUAGCAUACUACGGCGACGAUCCAUAGCUGGUUAGAGAGGAUGGUCAGCCACACUGGUAGUCGGACGCGGCCCAGAAUCCUACGGAAGGCAGGAGAGGGGAAUAGAGGACAGUGGGGGAAGGGAUGAACGAGCAAUGACGGGUAAGUGAUGAAGGCAGUAGGGAAGUAAAGCUCUUUUACCCGGGAUGAUAAUGACAGUACCGGGAGAAUAAGCUCCGGCUAACUACGUG
RNAcentral lists this ribosomal RNA (433 nucleotides) under uncultured bacterium. Its description in RNAcentral is "partial 16S ribosomal RNA". It matches the Rfam family "Bacterial small subunit ribosomal RNA", at positions 29 to 507 of the family's 1533-position model. The record is from RNAcentral.